This 680-nucleotide ribosomal RNA is filed under the name Streptomyces sp. KLBMP 03663. RNAcentral describes it as "bacterial SSU rRNA". It matches the Rfam family "Bacterial small subunit ribosomal RNA", at positions 57 to 755 of the family's 1533-position model. Lineage: Bacteria; Bacillati; Actinomycetota; Actinomycetes; Kitasatosporales; Streptomycetaceae. The record is from RNAcentral.
GCAGUCGACGAUGAACCACUUCGGUGGGGAUUAGUGGCGAACGGGUGAGUAACACGUGGGCAAUCUGCCCUGCACUCUGGGACAAGCCCUGGAAACGGGGUCUAAUACCGGAUAUUGACCUUCACGGGCAUCUGUGAGGUUCGAAAGCUCCGGCGGUGCAGGAUGAGCCCGCGGCCUAUCAGCUUGUUGGUGAGGUAAUGGCUCACCAAGGCGACGACGGGUAGCCGGCCUGAGAGGGCGACCGGCCACACUGGGACUGAGACACGGCCCAGACUCCUACGGGAGGCAGCAGUGGGGAAUAUUGCACAAUGGGCGAAAGCCUGAUGCAGCGACGCCGCGUGAGGGAUGACGGCCUUCGGGUUGUAAACCUCUUUCAGCAGGGAAGAAGCGAAAGUGACGGUACCUGCAGAAGAAGCGCCGGCUAACUACGUGCCAGCAGCCGCGGUAAUACGUAGGGCGCAAGCGUUGUCCGGAAUUAUUGGGCGUAAAGAGCUCGUAGGCGGCUUGUCACGUCGGUUGUGAAAGCCCGGGGCUUAACCCCGGGUCUGCAGUCGAUACGGGCAGGCUAGAGUUCGGUAGGGGAGAUCGGAAUUCCUGGUGUAGCGGUGAAAUGCGCAGAUAUCAGGAGGAACACCGGUGGCGAAGGCGGAUCUCUGGGCCGAUACUGACGCUGAGGAGCG